UGCCUGGGAGCCUGUAUGACAGGCAGGUUUCGGACCGUACCAUUUCACUCCACACAGGGGGGUCCAGGGUCCAUCUGCUCUCCUCCACUCCCCCCAUCAGACGAGGAGUGGUCCUGCCUCUCCGAACGGCUCCGCCCACCACCGCCGCACGGUGAUCUGUGAGCCGAUGAAAUCCAGGAAGUACAGAAGACUCCUAGACUCCAGUACAAGUCAACUCAACUGCGUGCUUUAUUGAUAUACACAGUAAAGCCUGUUAUGAUACAAUAGUAAGGCAUAUAUCUGGUGGAGUCUGAUAUGUUGUGGAAAAACAAAAAAGAAAUUAGUUAUUGAGGAAAGCAAUGGACGACAAAAGUAACUCAAGCGUUAGAAAUGAAAAUGAAUAAUUAUAAUAGGGUAACGACCAGAUACAACUACAAAAGAAUCUCUUUGAUCAUGCUUUCCCAGCAUAGCACACGAGACUGUUGUCAUGACAACACGCAGUGUACCUCGAGGUGGGGUUCCACACAUUAAAUAAAGGGUGUGCGUGCACACAUGCAGUCACUUGUGGCUCCACACGCCCACAGCAACACAACUAAAACAAACUUCGUCGUCAUCAUCAUCAUCAGCAGUACACCAAUGAAGAUGGACUGUUUCCAGGACAACAGUAAUGUGCAUUGGGGCUGUCAGUAGUCUGUCUGGUCAGUAGUGUCGGGGAGGGGGGUGGGGGGGUGGCCGGACGGCGUUACCAAGCGUGCU
Hypomesus transpacificus is the source of this 735-nucleotide long non-coding RNA. RefSeq lists it as uncharacterized. Lineage: Eukaryota; Metazoa; Chordata; Actinopteri; Osmeriformes; Osmeridae. The transcript has 2 exons. The record is from RefSeq and is a predicted model, not a curated record.